UACGUAGGGUGCGAGCGUUAAUCGGAAUUACUGGGCGUAAAGCGUGCGCAGGCGGUUUUGUAAGACAGGCGUGAAAUCCCCGAGCUCAACUUGGGAAUGGCGCUUGUGACUGCAAGGCUAGAGUAUGUCAGAGGGGGGUAGAAUUCCACGUGUAGCAGUGAAAUGCGUAGAGAUGUGGAGGAAUACCGAUGGCGAAGGCAGCCCCCUGGGACGUCACUGACGCUCAUGCACGACAGCGUGGGGAGCAAACAGGAUUAGAUACCCUGGUAGUCCACGCCCUAAACGAUGUCAACUAGUUGUUGGGGAUUCAUUUCUUCAGUAACGUAGCUAACGCGUGAAGUUGACCGCCUGGGGAGUACGGUCGCAAGAUUAAA
This 374-nucleotide ribosomal RNA is filed under the name uncultured bacterium. RNAcentral describes it as "bacterial SSU rRNA". It matches the Rfam family "Bacterial small subunit ribosomal RNA", at positions 524 to 898 of the family's 1533-position model. The record is from RNAcentral.